GUGGAGCGCGGGUGGGAUUGGCACUGGGAGCCCAAAGGAGAGGGCUGAGUGGGGUUCUGACUCCUCUGCCCAAC
This 74-nucleotide microRNA precursor is filed under the name Saimiri boliviensis boliviensis (Bolivian squirrel monkey). RNAcentral describes it as "miRNA (ENSSBOG00000012649.1)". Lineage: Eukaryota; Metazoa; Chordata; Mammalia; Primates; Cebidae. The record is from RNAcentral.